GAUGAACGCUGGCGGCGUGCCUAAUACAUGCCAGUCGAGCGAACAGACGAGGAGCUUGCUCCUCUGACGUUAGCGGCGGACGGGUGAGUAACACGUGGAUAACCUACCUAUAAGACUGGGAUAACUUCGGGAAACCGGAGCUAAUACCGGAUAAUAUAUUGAACCGCAUGGUUCAAUAGUGAAAGACGGUUUUGCUGUCACUUUUAGAUGGAUCCGCGCCGCAUUAGCUAGUUGGUAAGGUAACGGCUUACCAAGGCAACGAUGCGUAGCCGACCUGAGAGGGUGAUCGGCCACACUGGAACUGAGACACGGUCCAGACUCCUACGGGAGGCAGCAGUAGGGAAUCUUCCGCAAUGGGCGAAAGCCUGACGGAGCAACGCCGCGUGAGUGAUGAAGGUCUUCGGAUCGUAAAACUCUGUUAUUAGGGAAGAACAAAUGUGUAAGUAACUAUGCACGUCUUGACGGUACCUAAUCAGAAAGCCACGGCUAACUACGUG
This 497-nucleotide ribosomal RNA is filed under the name uncultured bacterium. RNAcentral's name for it is "partial 16S ribosomal RNA". It matches the Rfam family "Bacterial small subunit ribosomal RNA", at positions 28 to 507 of the family's 1533-position model. The record is from RNAcentral.